Molecule: long non-coding RNA, 408 nt
Organism: Vitis riparia (riverbank grape)
Lineage: Eukaryota; Viridiplantae; Streptophyta; Magnoliopsida; Vitales; Vitaceae
Exons: 2
Source: RefSeq, a predicted model, not a curated record
CAACUGAUGAGAAGAUCAAGUUAAACUACAGAAGGCUUGCACUGGAGGAUGCAUUGUCUGACGUGUUUCGCUUGAAACUAAGUUUCGUACAAGCUCAAAGGACUCCAUACACACAAGGGCAAUGUCGAAUCCGCGUUGAGGCUGGGGGCUUUCUUAUAGAAAUGAUUCACCAAGCAUAUCCAAUUUGAUGAAGGUGAUGAACGACGCAUAAAAUUUUGCUACAUGUGUGUCAAAAUCUAUAACUUACCAUCAUAAUGUACUGUGACCAGCUAUAGUUGUAUGACCUCUGAGGCCUUUAAGACAAGUAUUUCACUUUAAAUGUGCCCACACUUCAUUAUCAGAACUUUUCUGUAUGGUAUAUUAUGGCUUGCAUUUUUUUUUAAAUACAAUUAGUGGUUACUAUCUUAA